GACGAACGCUGGCGGCGUGCUUAACACAUGCAAGUCGAACGGAAAGGCCCUGCUUUUGUGGGGUGCUCGAGUGGCGAACGGGUGAGUAACACGUGAGUAACCUGCCCUUGACUUUGGGAUAACUUCAGGAAACUGGGGCUAAUACCGGCUAGGAGCUCCUGCUGCAUGGUGGGGGUUGGAAAGUUUCGGCGGUUGGGGAUGGACUCGCGGCUUAUCAGCUUGUUGGUGGGGUAGUGGCUUACCAAGGCUUUGACGGGUAGCCGGCCUGAGAGGGUGACCGGCCACACUGGGACUGAGAUACGGCCCAGACUCCUAAGGGAGGCAGCAGUGGGGAAUAUUGCACAAGGGGUGGAAGCCGGAUGCAGCAACGCCGCGUGCGGGAUGACGGCCUUCGGGUGGUAAACCGCUUUCGCCUGUGACGAAGCGUGAGUGACGGUAAUGGGUAAAGAAGCACCGGCUAACUACGGU
RNAcentral lists this ribosomal RNA (468 nucleotides) under uncultured bacterium. RNAcentral's name for it is "partial 16S ribosomal RNA". It matches the Rfam family "Bacterial small subunit ribosomal RNA", at positions 28 to 507 of the family's 1533-position model. The record is from RNAcentral.